RNAcentral lists this long non-coding RNA (4025 nucleotides) under Strigops habroptila (Kakapo). Its description in RNAcentral is "lncRNA (ENSSHBG00005001855.1)". Lineage: Eukaryota; Metazoa; Chordata; Aves; Psittaciformes; Psittacidae. The record is from RNAcentral.
UUUUUUUUUUUUUUUUACUUUCUCAUUUGUGACAUGGGAGGGUUAUAUCACUCACCUCAUGGAGAUGUUGUGGGGUUAAUUAGAUGAGGUUAAAUAUGAACAUUGAUUAAUGUUCAUAUAGAGUUUUGGUAUCAUUGGACAGAAUGUGCAGACAAAGAUGCAGCCUCAGUAAAACACUAAACCAACACGAAAAUGACAAACAGUUAAUCACCAGACCAGCUUACCAAGGGUUACAAUGCCUUGUCCUUCAUUGUAAAUGUUUUAAAUCAGAUUGCCUGUUUUCCUAACAUGUAUACUGUAGUUCAUUCACAGCUACUGGACCAAGCUGGAAUUAAUCAUGACAAAUCCUAUGUUCUACAUUUUUACCUGAGGUCAAAUUAGAGGAUCACAAUGGUCUCUCUGUCCUUAAAAUGCGUUCUAUUUCAGAUCUGCCCUCUCACUUAGCUAUAUUUUGGAGCAGAUAUUGAAUCUGAAAGGACGAUAGUCUGCAGGAGUGUAGAGGUCAGGAAACUUUGAUUAGUACAAAGAAAUGCUUUUUAAAAGCAGUAUCUUCUGCUAUUUUUUAUAAUGCCAAUGUGAUGAAUUAUGAAACUGGGCAUUACAAAAUGUUACAGCGUAUGACACUAUCUUGUUUCCAAUGUCAAUUUUUGUUUCCCCAGAUUUAGCUUUUUACUUUAGCUCAGUAACUAUAAUUUCCAUCUAAUUAUGAGUUCUUAUUAUUAGCAGGGUAAAGAAGUGGGGACAAAACCUGGGACAAAACCCAUCAGUCUGCUAAGCAGUGCCUUCACAGAUGAGACUGGUGUGGAGACAGGACGAGCACCAUUUUCAGUUGGACAUGAGUCGCAGGCUUCCUGGUCCUAUUCCAAGUAUAUAGAAGCCUUGGAGCAGGAGAGAGUACUUCUUAAAAUGCAGGAAGAUCUGGAGGAAGCUUCAUCAUCUGUCCUUACAGGUUGUUAACCAAGCUCUGUAGUUUAGGAGAACAAGCUUGUAGCUUUGGUAAAAUUCUCCUUUAGAUUUGCAUAUAUAAAUCUCUGCCUCUCUUAUGCUGUCUGCAUGGGAAUUUGCUCUCUACACCAUACUUGUGAGUGACAGUAAGUUUUCUAAGAAAGGGAAAGUGAAAGUUGCAGGGUAUCAGCAUUGCCUUUACUGCAGAGAGGAAUAUGGACAUUCUUCAUUCUGCAGAGUGAUAUGGCAAUCCUAUUUGGUUCACACACACAUUUCACCCCCCUGGCUUCUCGUGCUUCAUGAACUUACAUACCACCAGAAAGAUGCAACUUUUUUCUCACCAGUUUGUCAGUGUGCUUUUGGGGGAUGUAAGAAGCAUUGCUUCAUCCUUGUUUCAGCCAUGAAUAUCUUCUUACGUCUUCCCAAAUGAUAUGAUGACCUGUUUGUUCAUUAAAUAGCUCAACUUAGCAGUAGCACUAGCAAUAGCACUAUGUAAUAUUAAACCCCUUCAGUUUCCCAUCAUUUUAAUUUUCUUUUCAUACACAAGUACCUCGUCUAUGUCCUUCCCGAAGCCUGGAAACUCUGAAAAAUCCACCGUUUCUCCAAAGAGUAGUGUGAUUUUGGAGAAACACUCAAAUCUUCCCAAGAAGCAGAAAGCGAGUACCAGAUGCCAACAAGUGAGCUUUGAAAACUGGAUUCUUAAAAGCUAAUUUUCCUGCUGUCAGUGUUGAUUCUUAUUAGUAGCAAGUUAUCCCACUCCAAAUCAAGUUUAACUGAAGCUGUACAGCCUCAACGUGAAGGCAAAAUUAUUCUUCACUCCAAUCAUGGUUAGUGGACCUAAUGUUGACCAGAUGGAAUUUUGUUGCAAAAUGGUAGUCUCUGAAAUGCUGUUAUGUAAGCUUUCCAGUUAAAGUAUUUUAAAUAGGGGUGUGAGAUAACUGGAGGAAGCUCAGACCUCAUGGAGUUACUGGCAAAGGCUUGACACAGAACUAGCAAUAGAUCAUCUCUGCCAAGGCCAAUUAAAUAUUAGAAUGGAAGAAAGAAGUGGGACAGCAAAGAGGUCUGAUAAAGACAGAAAACCAGAGUUUGCUUGAAAGCUUGAAUUCCUAGAUGGAAGAAUCCCCUGGAGGUUUUGGUUUGGUUUGUUUUUUUAAGCCUAUGCUGAAAUUAGAUGGACUUGAAAAAAUUAAUAGAACUUGGACUAUUGCUGCCCUUCCUCAUCUGCUCCUCUUUCCUCUUCUAAUUCUGUACUUUAGCACUGCUAUUUUAGGGAAGUUGGUGUCCUGCCCUUGCUAGUCCUUCUGAACUUCCCAGUGUCUGAACACACUCUUCCCAUGGCAGCAUUUUCUGUAUGUGGCUUUAGAGACAACUGCAGCACUGCUUGGUUUUCCUCAUGUUCUCUUAUUUUCCUCCUACCACAUCCUCUAGUUGCAGCUAAAGUCUUCCAGUCACCUUGGGCCUUAUGCACAUCUGCAGAUAUUACUAUAUUUCAUACAUUCAUGCCUUUUGUACUGCAGUUCUGCUUCACACAUGGCUGUAUCAGUGUGGGGAGUCCUUGUGCAGGGGCUCUGGUCCUGCUCUGUAGCUGAGAAGCCUGCAGCUGGGCCCAGUGCUCAACAAGGGCCUACAAGGCAGCUGCAGCACUUGCUGCAGUCCAGCCCAGCAGUCCCUGGCCCACCCUGUUAUUCAAAACCUGAAGCUGCAGUCCUGCCAGGCAUCAGGCUGUGCUACAGGCUCACACAAUGAUAAAGUAGCGGUCUUGAGCUGUUUGAGAGGUCUCUCCGAACAGCUUCAGUUGCAGCCUGCUCUGCAAUACCAUUGAUUUGCCUGCGCUGCCCAGUCCCUCCCAAUAGCUCAUGUGUUCCCACUGCCUGCAAGUGGUUUCCUCUUCUUCCAUCACGACCCGCUGGUGGUGUCCUCAACUGUGCUCUGCAGUGAUCUGAUCGCUCUGCUGGUAGGGUGAGAUGUCUACAAAAGACUACUGCUGCUCACGAUGGGACAGCUUCUCUCCACUUUGUUACAAAGGUGUUCAGACCUUGUGUAUUUGGGUAUAAAUGGCAGAUGCUGGCAGCAGGGGGGCUGUAGGAGCAGCCUCUUUGAGGAAAGGCCAGGGCUGCUCCAUGCUAGAUACAGCCCAUUCCAGUCAGCUCCAACGGACCCAUCACAGGACACAGCUGAGCCCCUCAUGGUGGCACCUUGGGGAAAUGUAUUUAAGAAAGAGGAAAGAAAGACAGAGAGAGGAGGAGAGAAUGAAAAGAGUGAAAAACAACAGAGGAAACACCAAGGCCAGAGAAAGAGGAGGAGGUGCUUUAUGGUGGAGCAGAUAUUCCCUGCAGCCCUUGGAGAACACAUGCUGCAGCAGAGGAAAAGAGGGAGAAGGAAGAAGGGGCUUCCCAGUGCCUCACCAAAGGAACUAAGUGCAACUUGUGGUCAUAACAAGGAGGGGAGAAGAGGUGCUUGUAGUGAACUUGAACCUGGAAAAGGCAGGAAAAGUGCCUUCUCUAAGUGUGUAAAUGUCUGUUUCUUCUUUUUCUUGUUUUUGUCUCCCACUACCUGAAUCAGUAAUGAUUUAUUCUAACUGACAAUAUAUUAAUUUCCCCAGUUCAAGUCUGUUUUGCCUGUGACAGUAAUUGGUGAGCAACCUUUAUCUUGAUCCACAAGCUUUCCCUUUCCAGUUUUUCCUCUUUUCUCUCCUUGUCCUGCUGGGGGGGUUGGGUGGGGUGAGGUGGGGGAAAUAAGGGAGUGAGCAGCUGGGUGGGAGACUGGCUGCUAGUGAGGGUCAACACAACCACACCUUUUUUCCCUCUUUUUGAUGCAUUUAUUGAAGAACUGUUCUGACAAUUUCAACUGGCUGCAGCACAGCAAUGACAUUCUUUUAUCUUUUGCAGGCAAAAUAAAAUCUCUCUGAAGGAAGGGAAUGGAGAGACAUUCAAUGAAGGUGGUCAGGAGACACAAAAUUAAUGUGCAUGCAAGGUUUGGUUUGUCCUUACAUUUCCAGAGCGAAGAUGAUGACCUAUUAUUAAGAACCAUGCGACAUUAGUCGGGUAGAAAAUAAACAUCUUCCAGUAUGUUCCAUAUCA